AGUUUUAAUAAUACUGCUAAUACCAAUCCAAAACAAAUCUAUCCAAGACUGGUAUCACAACUUCACAGAAUGUCUUGGAGUACUACAAAUAAAGGUCUGAAAGAAAUAAAUACAAUGCUGUCUCUGGAAAUACAUGAAAGAAACAGGAAUAGUAGAUAGAAGGAGACGCCAAGGCCUGCGGACGCCUGCAGGACUACUUCGGGUCGCCUGAACAAGAAACAACAAUCUCACUGCGGUCCGAAGUCUACAGCACUGGGAUCUGCACAAAGGAGUGCAGAGUGUAGUAUCAGCACAACUGACCCCAUGUGCUGGUAAGUGCCUAGCCUAACCUCGGCGAAGUACUGACCAGGCUAGGACCAGACUACCAAAUAAACCUGUACAAUUAAAUCAUAUACAGCAAAAAAGAAGAACAGUAAUGUACAGUUAAGUAUGGGAGGGGGUAACAUGUUGCGGGGACAUUGAAUAAUAACAGAAGAACAACAAAUAAAUAUGAGGAUCACCACAGUUCAAUUGAAAAUAGGAAAGGGAGAUCAUGUUGUGGGGUACAACAAGUAUCAAGGAAACCAACAAUUAAAUGUAGAGAAAUUGUAACUCAGUUAUCAAUAAAAAAUCAGGAAAACAAAGAUAAGUGCACGGCAUCGCCCUUCGUGCUUUAACACUCUCUCACCAAAACAAUACAUGGUGUCACCCUUCGUGCUUUAACACUCUCUCACCAAAACAAUACACAGCAUCACCCUUCGUGAUUUACACUCUUCCUCACCCAAGAAACAAACACAAGGCAAAUAGGGUAAGGGAAUCUAUAACAUCGAAAUAAAAUCAGGUAACAACAGAAAAUCAGUGAAUAAACGUAAAGGACAAUAUAACUAAUUAUCAGCAAGAAUCAGGAAAAUCAAGGACAAGUGCACGGCAUCACCCUUCGUACUUUUACUCUCGUCCUUACCAUAAGAAUCAAUAUAAACUGCAUUGUAUCACCCUUCGUGCUUUUACUCUCAUCCUCACCAUAAAAUCAAUAUAAUCGGCAUGGAAUUGUACAUCGUGCGGCACGGCAUCACCCUUCGUGCAUUACACUCUUUCCUCACAAAUCAUACACGACAUCACCCUUCGUGCUUUAACUCUCUCUCACCAAAAUAAUACAUGGCAUCACCCUUCGUUCUUUAACAUUCUUCCUCACCCAAACAACAACCACAAACAAUAGGGAAAUGGAAUAAAUGAAAUUACGAUAAGAAUCCCGGCAAGGAGAUAAUAUUAAAAGCAACAAUAUCCCGGCAAGGGAGAUAAUAUAAUGAUUCUCUUCUCUUUUUCACUUUUACUUCACAACUCACUUCACAACUUUAAGCCAAUGCUCUAAAAGGUUCAAUUUCCACUUAUACUUUCACAUUUCAUUGUACAACUUGAACCAACGCUCCUCAAUGUUCAAAUAUCACAAUUACUUCCACAAACUUUUCCCAAUAAUAGAAAUCAUUAUCAAAGCAUGAAUAAUACAAUGAAGCCAUAAUAAUCACAAUAUAAGACUUACGGGCAUGCUUGACACUAACGUAUAGAUACUUGUCAUCAUGCUUAUACGUCGUACUCGACAAAUACCACAUAGCAAAUAGGACUCGACUCCUAAUCUCUCAAGCUAAGGUUAGACCAAACACUUACCCCGAUGCCACGAACAUAAUUCAAGCCUCUACUAUCUCUUUACCUCUUGAUUCCACCACCAAUUCGCUCGUAUCUAGUCACAAGUUACUUAAUUAUAUCAAUAAAUGCUAAAGGAAUCAAUUCUAAUGCAUGAGAAUAAGUUUUCUAAAGUUUUACCCAAAAAGUCAAAAAUCACCCCCGAGCCCACAUGGUCAAAACUCGAGGUUCAAACCAAAACCCGAUUACCCAUUCCCCCACGAAUAUAAAUAUAUAAUUUAUUUUGAAAUCGGACCUCAAAUCGAGGUCCAAGUUCCCAAUUUUUUAAAAACCUAGGUUCUACCCAAAAUACCCAAUUUUCCCCAUGAAAAUAAUUGAUUUUGAGUUGAAAUCAUGUGAAAAGAUGUUAAUGAUUGAAAAAAAUAGUUAGAAAUCACUUACAAUCGAUUAGGAAGAGAAGUUGCCUUUGAAAAAUCGCCCUAGAGAGUUUAUGUUUUGAGAAGAUGUGAAAAAUGGUUGAAAAUACGUCUAAGUAAUGAACUUACAGGUUGCAGGUAUCGCAAUUGCAAUUAAGGUUCGCAAUUGCGAACCCAGGCUCUGCUAAGCUUGCAUUUGCGAAGCAAUUUUUGCGAACAAACAGCCGCAUUUGCGAUGACAGGCCCAAAUGGGGAGCAUCGCAUUUGCGAAGGAAAAUUUUGCAUUUGCGAGGAUGGGCUGGCCUGGCCUGGUUCGCAUUUGCGACUCAGCCUUCACAUUUGCAAACUCGCAUUUGCGAGCUAGGCUUCGCAAAUGCUUGCAGGCCUACAAUGAAAUAGCUGAAGUUUGUAACUUUCCAAGUCCAAAAUCCACCCCGUGGCCUAUCCAAAACUUACCCGAGCCCUCGAGGCUCCAAACCAAACAUGCACACCAACCUAAAAACAUCAUACGUACUCGCUCGUGCAUUCAAAUCACUAAAAUAACAUCAACAACUAUGAAUUUAGCAUCAAAAUCAUGAAAUUUCUUAAGAACUUCAAAUUUUCUAAUUUUCUCAAAAACGAUCUGAUUCACGUCGUUUUAAGUCCGUUUCUUACCAAAUUUCACAGACUUAUCUUAAAUUACAUAUAAGACCUGUACCGGGCACCGGAACCAAAAUACGGGCCCGAUACCAUCAAAUUGUAAACACAUUUCAUUUCCAAAACUCAUAAAUAAUUCCAAAAAAUAAUUUUCUUUAAAAAUUCAUUUCUCGGACUUAGGACCUCGGAAUUCGAUUUCGGGCAUACGCCCAAGUCCCAUAUUUUUCUACGGACCCUCCGGGACCGUCAAAUCACGGGUCCGGAUCUGUUUACCCAAAAUGUUGACCAAAGUCAACUUAAAUCCAUUUUAAAGUCAAAAUUUAUUAUUUUUCACAGAUUUUCACAUAAUAGCUUUCCGGUUACGCGCACGGACUAUACGCACAAAUCAAGGUGAUGCUAAAAGAGAUUUUUAAGGCCUUAGAAUGUAGAAUUUACUUUUAAAACAAGUGAUAACCUUUUGGAUCAUCACAGUUCUCCAGGUGGGAGCCUGAUUACCAACAUUUGAAUUGUAUUCCUUCCCUCUGAAACUUGAAUUAUUUUCCCUUUAUUUUCUAGGUGGGCGCCUGAUUGUUGAACUUGACCCGUCUUCCUUUUAACAUUGCUGCAUUCCCUUUGUUCUCCAGGUGAGCGCCUUAUUACCAACAUUUGAAUUUUUUUUCCUUGAGACUUGAACUGCUUCUCCUUGUUCUCCAGGUGGUCGCCUGAUAUCCAACACUUGCACUGUUUUUCCUUGAGACUUAAGCUGUUUCUCCUUGUUCUCCAGGUGGGUGUCUAAUUUCCAACACUUGCACUAUCUUUCCCUCGAAACUUGACUUGUUUUCCCUUGUUCUCCAAGUGAGUUCCUGAUUGUUGAACUUGAACCAUCUUCUUUUGCUACUUGGAACUGUUUUCCGUAGAAACUUGCACUAUUUUCCCUUGCUCUCCAGGUGGGCGCCUGAUUGCUGAAAUCGCGUUGUUUUCCUUUGAAACUUGAGUUGUUCCAUUUGUUCUCCAGGUGGGCUCCUGAUUGCUGAACCUGAACUGCUUUCUCUUGAAACUGCUUUUCUUUGAACUUUCUUCCCUUGUUCUCCAGGUGGGUGCCUGAUUGCUGAACUUGACCCGCUUUUCUUUGAAACUUGAGCUGUUUUCCCUUGUUCUCCAGGUGGGUUCCUGAUUGCUGAACUCGAACUAUCUUCUCUUGAAACUUGAUCUACUUUCCCUUGUUCUCUAGGUGGACGCCUGACUGCUGAACUUGACCCGCUUUCCCUUGAAACUUGAGUUGUUUUCCCUUGUUCUCCAGGUGGGCACCUAAUUGCAACAAAAUAGACAAAACAAAAGAAAUUUUUCUGCCCCAGUUUGAUAUUGGGAACAUCUGUGAGUGUUAACUAAUUCUUGUUAUCAAAAUAAGUUCUAAGCUAAAUUCCCUUAUCCUGAAAAAUUUCAAACCAAGUCUCGUCUCAAAAGUGAAAAACUUUAAAUGCUAAUUAUACUUCCCCAAAGUAGAACUUACGUCAGACCUUGUCACUUGCGAGGGUCUCAAAAGUUACUAAAUCCCGUUAUCCAGGAGGGUACUCAAAACUUACUGCCGAGCCUAUCUGGCACCUGCUUUCCUCACGGAGGGUUUCUUCGGAACAAACAAAAUUUCCUGCCCCUGUUUCAAUCAAAGAAAACUUGUAAGUUUAAACAUGGUGGUUGGUUUGUGGCCUUGACUUUGAGGGCGAUUGCUCUUUCACUUCCUAUGAUAACUUCGAUUUCAACUCAAAAGACCUUGCUAAUUUAUUGAUUGACCACUUUCUUUGUUACCCUUAUCACAAAAAAUACCUCUGAUCCGUUCAAACCCAAUAUCAUUCCUCUGUUGCAUUAUGCUCAUGCAUUGACAUAUAUUGAACCUUUGUGUUUCACACGAAUCCCAAAGCACGUCAAUUGCCACCCACUCAGUGUGCAUGCCGUUCAUUCCUGACUUAAACCACUGGCCUUGGCCAUGAGGUCUAUUGCUCCUUCACUUGCCAUGAUAACUCUAAUUUCCGCUUGGAAGACCUUCCUUGUCAUUGGUUAACCACUUUCUCUGUCAACCUUAUCAUAUAAAAUACCUCUGAUCCGUACAAACCCAAUACCAUUUAUCUAUAUACCGAACCUUUGUAUUUCACAUGAAUCCCAAAGCACACCGAUUGUUAUCCAUUUAGUGCAUAUACUGCUCUUUCCUGACUUAUGCCACUUUGAUGUGCUAGCUAGAUCCCGUUUUGUGCAAUUGGAAAGCUGGUAGCAAAUUUUGAAGUCAUUUCUCACUUGUUCUGACCAAACAGACUCAGGAAGAGGAAAUAAACAAGAUAAAAUGAAUAGAGUAAAAGACAAUGGAAAGAAAUGAUUCCUAACAAGAAAACUACAAAGUAAAAACUUAUCAAAUAUGGAUACCAACUCUAAUGACCAUGAUACGUAUUUUUGGAUUAGUGGCAUAAUCUGUCAAGAAAGUCUAAUGUUCAACUAUUGUUGUACCUCUUGGCCGUGAAACUGGGCUUCAAUGCUCUGAUUAUCCUAUCUGAUUCACAAUCCUUAUUUGACUUGUAGUGCCUGAAGGGUUUUCACCAUCAAGCCUCUCUCAUUUUGUUCUUUCUCUCAACUUACUGUCGCUUUAUGGUUCCUGUGAAGGUUUUCACCAAUAAGACUCUCUCAUUUUAUUUUUUUCUUCUUAUUUCCUCUGAUUCUGCAGAUGACAAGGCAUUAACCAUGAUAAAAACAUCAUAUACUCUUGGCAUGUCUAAACUUAGGACUCACAGAAAUUAUCUGGGAGGUCUUUUUUGGACUAUAAUGUGGCUUUUGGACAGGGUUAAAAAGAAAGGAUAUCAUAAAGGCUCAAAAUAACUAAGACAGCGGGGUUAAUUUAUUUACAACUUUUGAAAUCCAUUCUAGAAACUUUGCCCCAAUUUCUAAAACAAGGGAAUUUGAUUCUUUUUUUUCUUUUCUUUUGAUGGAGUUACUAAGAAAGACUGCCCCACUCUCGACUUCAUGGGAUUAUGAAAUAUUUUAUUUGGCAUGACCGAAUGGUAAGGCUGCCUACGUAUCUUGUGGUGACAAGAAUCAGGUCAAACAUAGUUUACAAAGAUACGUUUUGUUACUAUUUUCCUUUUUUCUUUUUUUUUCUUUUCCUUCUUCUUUUUUUCCGUUUUUUUCUUUUUCUCUAUUUUUUCUCUUUUUUUUUUUUGAAUUUUCCUUCUGGAAUAAACUUUCCAAAAUAAACCUAUGGGGACAUGAAAUUUAUUUUUCGUAUGACUCUAACUUGAUUCCAAAAGAAGGGAGGUCAAAGAAAUCAGUACAUGCUCAAAAGGGGAUCGAAGGGUAUAAGUGUUUGGGUGGCUGAAAGAGGGCUUCCCAAUCUCUGAAAAUGCCAAGUACAACACAUGCAACUUGAGGAUGAAAAUUGAAGAGCACACACAAUAUUUCUUUAGCAGCUUCGCCAUUGAAUCACUAACAUGCCUUCCACUUUCUUUAGCGCUUUGUCAAGUACAGAACUCUCGUUGGGCAAUUUCUCCUUCACAAUGGAUACCGUCCGCCAAUUCGGAGAAAACUUUCUUGACUUUAUCUUGUAACUUGAGAUGCACUUGAACUCAAAGUUGCUUGCUUCAAAUUGUCUGGGAUGUACUCUCCUUUAACGAAUCCUUAUCAUCCUAUUAACUUCCCAAAUUAAUUACCUCAGUUUCACACAGUUCGGGCUUCAAAUGACCUCAAAAUGUCCAAAUCUGUAUUUAUUUCCCUCAAGUGUUCCCAUCAUCUUUAAAAUUGUUUCAUUGCUUCAUGAUUAAACUAAUUUUUAAGACCAGACCUAGAACUAUGCGAGCAUGUCAUGUCCUAGAGCCGGCAUGAAAAGAACUAUAAAAGGAAAAAAAGAGAACUAAACAAAAAUAACUAGAAAUAACAGAAAAUAAAAAAAUUCAUUUGACAGACGGUGAAAGAGUUUGAACAACAAAACAAGCAAAAUAAAUUGUGUUAUAACCCUGGAACAAACCUAGAUAACACUAAAUGAGUUUCUACGGUUAAAGGAACUAGGCAAAAUAAAAGUAUAGGAGGGUUUGGGUCACAAGACAAUAUCCGGAUUACAGCCCUGAAAUAACCCGGACAACAGAAAUAACAAUAAAAUUAACCAUCAAAACUCCUCCCUAGCUAGCCAAGAAAGGAGCGUCUUUCUAAUUACCAAGCUCGACAUCUUAGCCACUGAGUUCCACAUCAAUGUUACCAAGACCAUUGCCAAUUUCCAUAUCAUUAACUUCAGUCAGCAAGUUCCCAAGAGAAUUCUCAUGCUCCCUAUCACCACGCAUCAUCCCCACAAAGUGUGCAUCAUCAUGUGCAGGUAAAGGAUUCUGCGUGAUAUGCUAGGUGUCACUAUCCUGGAUCACAAUUAUCCCUUCUUGAAUCAUUCUUUCUAUUUCCUUUUUCAAAGCACGGAAAUCUUCAAUGCUAUGACCUUGGACAUUAGAGUGGUACAUGCACCGUACAGUAGGAUCAAAACCUUUUGCAUAUGGGUUUGGAGUAUAGAUGAGGAGCGGUUCAAUCAGGCCAGAGUAUUUUAAAUUUUCAAAUAGGCUUGUAUAGGAUUUUCCAAUUGGCAUGAAACUAUUUCCAUGUCCCAGUUUUCUAGGGUUGUUUGAUGCUCGAAAAAGCUAUGAAGGCACACGAGAAUUUUGGGAUGCUGGUGCUCGCCCUAAGGAGUGACCUAGUGGUUGGACAGAUGGCCGGAUGUUGUUCGGAGGAUAAUACUAGGGUGGAUUAUGUGGAGUUUGGGGAUGUUCAUGGGGUCGGUAUUGAGGCUGAAAGCAUUUAGCAGGAAUGCCCACUAGAUCCUGUCGUUGGCUGGGCUCAGCAACCUUUUUUCUAUUGAUGGGUGGACUACCCCGAGCAACUUGUUCGUUCCAUCUGAACCAAAAUUCCCUAAAACUUUCCUUGGGUUUCUUUUCUGAGAUAGGAGGAGCGAUCUGGGACAAUGUCUAUAUUGUACUGAAAGUGUCGCACAAAAUCUUGAGCCAUGUCAUCCCAUGUAUGCCACUUACCGACAUCUUGACGAGUAUGCCAUUCCAAAGCUUCCCUAGUCAGGCUCUCAUUGAAAUAUGCCAUUAGCAACUCAUCUUUCCCGCCAACACUUCUCAUUCUAUUGCAAUAACCCUUCAGAUGGGCUACUGGAUAUCCACGCCCAUCAUACAAAUUAAACUUUGGCAUCUUAAACCCUUUUAGCUUUCUAGAUAUUUCAUCUUGCUCCACUGUCUUAGUAGGCUUUGUAGUCUCACCGGGAGGCUGAAAAUGAGGAGCUUAAGAAUAUGGACCCAAGACCUUAAAAAUUGGUUCUGGAGCAUAUGUUGGGCCUCUGGAAUUUUGAACACAGUCUCGCCAGAGGAUCGAGGAAAGGUAGCAGGUGGAUGAGCUACAAAAACAUGUAUGGUUAAAGGAGCAGGAUAUGAGGUGGUUGUAGGGGUGGAGUGUGAAAAGGUUUUGAGGAGAUAUCCUGGACUUGUGACAGUGGCAGAAUGGUGACAAGGCUUUCAGUAUAGUUAGUGGGAACUGAUAGUGGAGGACGCCCACUAAUCCAGGCUUGGUAUAUUUCGGCCAUCUGUCCUUUCAACCUUAAGACCUCUUCUUUCAACUCAGAUUCUGAUUCAACAAUUCCCUUAGACGGAUCAAUAACCCAUGUGUCCAAGUCUUUGCUAGUCAUUGCUACCUUGCUCUUUGACCUUGUGUUGUAUAGAUGAGUUACUUAUGAACCACAAACCAACCACCCUUCUGCUCAAUGAAGAUAACAAAAGGAACAAAAUGGGGUCAUCCUGUUAGCGUUAGGGCAUUUAGCAGCUAAAAAUAUCACAUCGCGUGCAAUGCACCUAGCAACAAUUAACGGUUUUAGAAUAACUUCGAGGGUCACAAGGUCACUUGGCAUCAUUCCAAUUUUGUUCAUUUCAACCUUCUCUUUUCUUUCCUUUUCUAGUACUUGCUUGCUCAUUUUCCUUCCAUUUUUUUUUUAAUUAUCACUCUUUUCUUUCCUCUCAUUUCUCACAUCCCAUAAUUUCAUCUUUUUUUUUCUUUUUCUUUUUCUUUUUCUUUUUCCUUUUUUUCCUUUUUUUUAAAAAAUGAUUCGAUUGAACUCUAUGUAGGUUUCCUACGUAUCAUGACGUCGCAUGAGUCAGAUCUUUGUGUAGUUCAGGAAGAUCGGGAAAAAAGUAUACAAACUAACGUUCUCUUUCUUUUUUUUACCUUAGUGACUACUCUGAUGAGAAAAGAGAAAUAAAAAAUGCAAAUCUUUUUUUAUGAAUUUUCUAGACUUAAUGUUCUAUAACCUAUUCUAAACUCAAGCUUAACGAGCAUAUAUUUUUCUUUUUCUUUUUGAAACAGAUACUCUAUGAGAAAUUAUUAAGGGAAAAAAAUCCUAGAAGAGAAAAAUAUUUUUUUUGAUUCUUUUUUUAGGAAGGAAAUCUAUAGAAUAGACCAAAGAAAAAUAUUUUUAAUUUUCAUUUGAUAUCCUGAAAAAAAAUUUCGAAAUGAGAAAUGAAAAAGAUAAAAAAAAUAUUGUUUUUGGAUUUCAGUUUUUGAUUACCUAAGGAAAAAACUCUAAAGAUAAACAACAUAUAAUGUCUGUAUUUUUUCUCUUCUAUGUACAGUAUCCUAAAGUUCUAGCGAAAAUAAAAAGAAUAUUUUUUUUAUUUUUCAUUAGUUUCCCAAAGAAGAGCCUCAAAAGAAAAUCUUUUUGGAUUUUUGAAAUUAAUACCUUAAAGAAAACUCUUUAAAGAGGUACUAAAAGAAAAUUCUCAUUUUUUUUUUGAAUUUUUAGUCCUAAUAUACUAAAGGAAAUAUAAAAAUAAUUUUUAUUUUAAAUUCUAGAUAUUGAUUUCCUAAAGGAAAAACCACCUCAAUUGAAAUUUUUUUUAAUUCCUAGAAUUAGUAUUCUGAAUAAGACUUCUAACGGAAAUAUAAAAACGCAAAAUCUCUUCUUUUUUUUUAAUUUUUGAUUUAUAAAACACUUUUUCAACUAUAAAAUAGAAAGUACAAUAAUAAUAAAAAACUUGAUAUUACUAUACAAAACUAGAAAGUAAAAGAUGACAUAAAAAUAAAAACAGACUCAAAACAUAAAAAAAAAACUUCUUUUAAUCCACUUCUGAUAAGCGAUCCUGACUAGAUGGUCCUGGGGAUCUGUCAUACUCAAACUCCGGUAAGUAAAUCCACACCUAUUUGAGAAAAUUAAAACCAAAUAAGUUAAAGACCUAGAACGCUAUGUGAGACAAUAACCCUUCAUGUUGGACACAUGCAAGACAUGAUUGAGGCAAUUUUUGCAAAAUAGCUUAUUUGGCCCAAAAGAUGGCUAGAAGUGAAAAAUUUGGCUAAGACCCUACAAAGCCAAGGACCUAAACUCACUAGGAAGACCGGACCCUAUGUGGGUUGCCUACGUAUCACGACGCAAAAGACGAGAAUCAGGUAUGCGUAGUUCGGGCAGAUUGGAUACGCGCGAGAAUUUUGUCUUUUUUUUUUGAAAAAUGAUGAAACAUGUAAAAUAUUUUUAGAUUCUCUUUUCCCUUUUUUUUUGAUUUUUUGAUUUUCAGAAUGACGAAAAAGUGCAAAAUCUUUUUUUGGCAUUUUUCAUGUAUUUUUUUCUUUUUCUUAACAAAAAUGUGAAAAAAAACAUAACGGUGCCCUACUUGCUUUAUUUUCAUACUUCACCCUCUUUUCUCUUUUUUUCAUUUGCCCUCAACUAUCAUUAGUCCGCCAAAUGACCCUUUUACCCUUGAGGAUAUGCAACAUGUAGCACAUAGGAUGCAGCAAGAUGGUCUGUUAUUUUGGGUACACAUGUCCUAGACGGGCCCAACCCCUGUGUUGAGUCCCCAAAGUCAAAUGCACAUGAUGCAAACAAACGUUCCUACUAGGGAUCCGGCAUGAGGUUAUGUUAUUCUAAGUUUAAACCUGGGGUUGUGUUCUUGACCUGGCUUACCCGACCGGACUAAUGGGGUCGAAGAGGGGGCAACGUACCGGGAGCACUAAAGACUACUCGGCCUUGCUGCUGGCCCAGCCUCGUUCUAUUUGGUAUAAUUUCUACAAAAAAAGCGGACCACACGAACGUGUGCACCAUUUUCAGAAGACAGUUAUAUACAAUUCAAACAAUAUUAAACUGGUAAAUAGAUAGCAUUUAGCACAAAAGGUUCACAGAAUACAGUAAUAUGAACAACAAAUAAAGCCAAGUAAACAUCAUAUUAACAAGCUCGAAUUCUUGAACCCUGAACCAGAGAUUCUGGGUUCCUGUCCCCAGCAGAGUCACCAGAGCUGUCACACCUCCUUUUCACUACACCGAAAGGGUGUAAGGGAGUUUUUUCCAAUUUAAGUGACAAUCGAAACGGGAUUAUUUAUAUUAAAUUCAGAGUUGCCACUUGGGAUAAUUUAUGGUGUCCCAAGUCACUGGUUUAAAAUCCCGAAUCGAGGAAAGUUAACUCUAUUUACGGUCUGCGAACACAGAAAACCAAGUAAGGAAUUCUGUUAACGGGAGAAGGUGUUAGGCAUUCCCGAGUUUCGUGGUUCUAGCACGGUCACUUUGAUCAUACUUGGCUUAAACAAAUUGUUUGAUUACUGAUUUUAGAACCUAUGUGCAUUUGCCUUUUUUAAUUAAGAAAUUAUCUUGAAAUGGGUCACACGUACGUGUACCCAUUUGUUUGGCGCGUCAAAAAUCAUGUCACGCGAACGUGUCCACAAUUAAUAACGCUUUAUUAUUAAAAAAAAAUUGGCCAAAGUUGUGUGAACGCAUACUACGGUUUUGUUUUUAGAAUCGUAAUUAUGUCACGCGAACGUGUCCACAAUCACAAUGAUACAUUAAACGGGCCUAAAGAAACCACGAGCAUUUUUCAUUUUUAUAUCUAGGUUAUGAAAUUAAUACGAGGGUCAUGAAUGAUUAAAUUGUGGAUGGCACACCUCGGGCUAUGUGAACUAUAUUUCAAUUAGUGGCCUAUUACAAGAAUUUUAUUAUUAAGAAGGUUUGAUCGAAGUUGCACGAACGCAUACUCCGAAUUAGUUUUCAGAAUCGUAAUUAUGUCAGGCGAACGUGUACACAAUCGCGAUGAUAUAUUAAAUCGUGCCUAAAGCAAGCUACGAGGUUCAAAGCAUUUUUCUAUAUUAGUAAAGAUAUAGAUAUGAGGGCCAUAGACUAUGUGAUAGGAGGGCCAGAGCUGUCACACUAUUCGAGCCAACAUCUACAAAUUGUAUAUGGGAAAUCAAAAUUUCUUACACAAAAUAUAGCUACUUUUAACGAGUGUCAACUUUUAAUUGAAUUGGGUAACUAUUUGAGACAAUACUCAAAAGCAAAUCCUAUAAGGUAAUGCCUUUUUGAAAUGAUAGCAUAUCAAAAGGAUGAUUGUGGUGAUUUUCUACUCUCUUGCAUUAUAACUCUCUCAGUGAAACAAGUUACCUGUAUAUCAGUAGUAUCAUAAGUCAUAUCUCACUUUCCAUUUCCCACUAUUAUUGACAUGGAGUGUCCAAUUGUUUUCUCUGAUCUGAAAGUAAGGAACCUUUUCAACGACUUCAUAUCCAACUUUGAGCCUCACAUCUUGGUCUUUUUUCACAUUCAUGAUGUUCCAAGUAAAUUCAGCAGCAACUCUUGAGAAAUAUAAAUCAGAUCUCUCACUAAUAUACACUUCUAUGCACUAAAGUUUUUCAUUUCCAGAAAUUAAACUAUAUUAUGAUGUAUAUAGAGAUUCAGAUAUGAAAAUACUAAACCACAAAUAAUGUAUUCACAAUGUGUAACUUCAAAUCCAUGUCAUCAAAACCAUGUAUAUGAAAUUAAAAGGAGAUAGCAAUUAACGAUAGCAAGAAUUUUAUAAAUAGAGCAUUGUAAUAGACAGAAAUAGCAAAUGUAUAUGAAAGAAUUGAAACUCAAACCUCAAACCGGAAACAAAGAACAACGAUCUCAAAUCGAACCCCGAUGGAACUCAAGCUGGACCGGAACAUAACAGAAACUCUUCCUCAAAUCCCUUAAGGUAUAUAUCAUUGCCAGCAGUUUCAUCCUCGGCAUUCAAAUCGCCAACAAAGGAUCCCAAAUUUUGGCUCAUUAUUUGCCCCUCAUUCUAAAAGACGGAAGGGAGAGGAUCUGAAAAUACACACAACUAUUUCAUUCCCUAAUACACUUACUCAUGAUUACACAAAAAGAAAACUGGAUUUUCAAAAAAAGAGAAGGGGUGGGCAACGGCUAUUAGCCUUUGGAGAUCAGGUGGCCGCUGCUACUGGUUUCCGGCGAACAGCGAGGUGGGGUUGCACUGGUUUCGUCUUGGUGUUAAAAGUUUAUGAGCGAGGAUCUCAUUUUUUGUUCUGCCGCUGCUUAGGUCUUUUGGGUUGGAGUCCUCUCUAGGUCUAGGUCUUGUUGUUGUAGAAGAAAGGGCAAUGACUUAAGAUUUUUUGUGUCUCAAGAAGAAGAAGCUCAAGGCUCGCUGGGUGGGGGGGGUUUGAAGAAGACGGGUUUCACGGGGUGGGGUCUAAUUUGCUGAAAACGGCGCUCAUCAGGUGUAUAGGUCUUUAGGUCUAUGUUGUAUAUUUUGUGUAUUUUUCAGCUCC
RNAcentral lists this long non-coding RNA (13202 nucleotides) under Nicotiana tabacum (common tobacco). RNAcentral describes it as "long non-coding RNA (NTAB_LNC004945)". The record is from RNAcentral. Lineage: Eukaryota; Viridiplantae; Streptophyta; Magnoliopsida; Solanales; Solanaceae.